GCUUUUACUGUAGCCUGGAAUUGUGUUUUCGGGCUUCGCUUGCGCAGGAAUAGGUGGGAGGCAUUGAAGUUACCCCUUGUGGGGGUAUGGAGCCAACGGUGAGAUACCACUCUGGCGAGGCUAGGAUUCUAACCUUGACCCGUAAUCCGGGAAAGGAAACAGUUUCAGGUGGGCAGUUUGACUGGGGCGGUCGCCUCCUAAAAGGUAACGGAGGCGCGCAAAAGGUUCCCUCAAGCUGGUUGGAAAUCAGCUUUUAGAGUGUAAAGGCAAAAAGGGAGCUUGACUGCAAGAGUGACAACUCAAGCAGGGACGAAAGUCGGCCUUAGUGAUCCGACGGCACUGCAUGGAAAGGGCCGUCGCUUCAAACGGAUAAAAGUUA
Molecule: ribosomal RNA, 379 nt
Filed under: uncultured alga
Lineage: Eukaryota
Description: bacterial LSU rRNA
Rfam family: Bacterial large subunit ribosomal RNA
Source: RNAcentral